AAAGAAAUCGUUAAGGGCGUAUGGCGGAUGCCUAGGCUUUCAGAGGCGACGAAGGACGUGGUAAGCUGCGAAAAGCUGCGGGGAUUGGCACACACGAAUUGAUCCGCAGAUAUCCGAAUGGGGCAACCCGGCAUGUUGAAGACAUGUCACCUCGCAAGAGGAGCAAACCCGGAGAACUGAAACAUCUAAGUACCCGGAGGAAAAGAAAUCGAAGAGAUUCCGUAAGUAGUGGCGAGCGAAAGCGGAUUAGCCCAAAAGUCUUUUUAUGUUUAGAGGAAUGUUCUGGAAAGAACAAUCAUAGAAGGUGAUAAUCCUGUACUCGAAAGGCAUAUAGAGAUGAUAAAUGAGUAGGGCGGGACACGUGAAAUCCUGUCUGAAUAUGGGGGGACCAUCCUCCAAGGCUAAAUACUCCUGAAAGACCGAUAGUGAACAAGUACUGUGAAGGAAAGGUGAAAAGCACUUCGAAUAGAAGGGUGAAAUAGAACCUGAAACCGUACGCCUACAAGCGGUCGGAGCAGCGUAAUGCUGUGACGGCGUGCCUUUUGCAUAAUGAGCCUACGAGUUAAUUUUACUAGCGAGGUUAAGGUAUUAAGUACCGGAGCCGGAGCGAAAGCGAGUCUGAAUAGGGCGCAUAGUUAGUAGGAUUAGACGCGAAACCUUGUGAUCUACCCAUGGGCAGGUUGAAGCUCUGGUAACACAGAGUGGAGGACCGAACCGGUUGACGUUGAAAAGUCUUCGGAUGACCUGUGGGUAGGGGUGAAAGGCCAAUCAAACUGGGAGAUAGCUCGUACUCUCCGAAAUGCAUUUAGGUGCAGCGUCGUAUAUAAGUUUAUUAGAGGUAGAGCUACUGAUUGGAUGCGGGGGUUUCAUCGCCUACCAAUUCCUGACAAACUCCGAAUGCUAAUAAAUGUUCUACGGCAGUGAGGGCAUGGGUGCUAAGGUCCAUGUCCGAGAGGGAAAGAACCCAGACCAACAGCUAAGGUCCCCAAAUAUAUGUUAAGUUGAAGCAACGCGGUUGGACUGCAUUGACAGCUAGGAUGUUGGCUUGGAAGCAGCCAUUCAUUUAAAGAGUGCGUAACAGCUCACUAGUCGAGCGGUCCGGCAUGGAUAAUAAUCGGGCAUAAACAUAUUACCGAAGCUAUGGAUUUAUAUUUUAGAUAUAUCUGGUAGGAGAGCAUUCUAUUUGCGCCGAAGCAGUACUGUGAGGUAUUGUGGAGCGGAUAGAAAAGAAAAUGUAGGCAUAAGUAACGAUAAAGCAGGCGAGAAACCUGCUCACCGAAAGACCAAGGCUUCCUCAGCCAUGCUAAUCAGCUGAGGGUUAGUCGGGACCUAACGCGAACCCGAAAGGGGUAGUGGAUGGACAAUGGGUUAAUAUUCCCAUACUUGCUCACAAUAAAAGGGGACGGUUGGAUGUAGCUGCUGGAGACUGACGGAAUAGUCAAGGCCUAGCCUUCGGGCGAAGCUGCUGUAGUGUAAUCUGAUCCAAGAAAAGCCGAAGUGAAGCAACCCGUACCAAAACCGACACAGGUGGUCGAGGAGAGAAUCCUAAGGUGCUCGAGUGAGUCGUGGCUAAGGAACUAGGCAAAAUAGUCUCGUAACUUCGGAAGAAGAGACGCCAACAGCAAUGUUGGCCGCAGUGAAGAGGCCCAGGCGACUGUUUAUCAAAAACACAGGACUCUGCUAAAUCGAAAGAUGCUGUAUAGGGUCUGACACCUGCCCGGUGCUGGAAGGUUAAGGAAGGUGCUUAGCGUAAGCGAAGGCAUUAACUGAAGCCCCAGUAAACGGCGGCCGUAACUAUAACGGUCCUAAGGUAGCGAAAUUCCUUGUCGGGUAAGUUCCGACCUGCACGAAUGGUGUAACGAUCUGGGCACUGUCUCAGCCACGAGCUCGGUGAAAUUGUAGUAUCGGUGAAGAUGCCGAUUACCCGCAAUGGGACGAAAAGACCCUGUGAACCUUUACUAUAACUUCGUAUUGACUUUGAGUAAGUAAUGUGUAGGAUAGGUGGGAGGCUUUGAAGCAGGCACGCUAGUGUUUGUGGAGCCGACGUUGAAAUACCACCCUUUACUUACUUGGAGCCUAACUUCUUUCAGAAGGACAUUGCGUGGUGGGUAGUUUGACUGGGGUGGUCGCCUCCAAAAGAGUAACGGAGGCUUUCAAAGGUACCCUCAGCACGCUUGGUAACCGUGCGUAGAGUGUAAUGGCAUAAGGGUGCUUGACUGUGAGACCUACAAGUCGAUCAGGUGCGAAAGCAGGACAUAGUGAUCCGGUGGUUCCGUAUGGAAGGGCCAUCGCUCAUAGGAUAAAAGGUACUCCGGGGAUAACAGGCUAGUCUCCCCCAAGAGCUCACAUCGACGGGGAGGUUCGGCACCUCGAUGUCGGCUCGUCACAUCCUGGGGCUGGAGAAGGUCCCAAGGGUUGGGCUGUUCGCCCAUUAAAGUGGCACGCGAGCUGGGUUCAGAACGUCGUGAGACAGUUCGGUCUCUAUCUAUUGCGGGCGUUAGAUGUUUGAGAGGGCUUGAUUCUAGUACGAGAGGACCGAAUUGAACAAACCUCUGGUGUAUCAGUUGUACCGCCAGGUGCACCGCUGAGUAGCUACGUUUGGAAGAGAUAAGCACUGAAAGCAUAUAAGUGCGAAACUCGCCUCAAGAUGAGACAUCUUUUAAGGGUCGUUGUAGAUGACGACGUUGAUAGGCUAUAGGUGUAAAGACAGUAAUGUCAUAGCCAAGUAGUACUAAUUACCCGUAGAUUUAUAGUC
RNAcentral lists this ribosomal RNA (2755 nucleotides) under Chryseobacterium sp. PCH239. RNAcentral's name for it is "23S ribosomal RNA". It matches the Rfam family "Bacterial large subunit ribosomal RNA". RNAcentral also lists the same sequence under 1 other name. The record is from RNAcentral. Lineage: Bacteria; Pseudomonadati; Bacteroidota; Flavobacteriia; Flavobacteriales; Weeksellaceae.